GUUAAGAGCUUUAAGAUCUAUUAGUUACACUUGGAAAUGAUAGAUCUUAAAGCUCUUAACGAUGAAAUAUCUCUAGCCGACAGGAAGGGGGAAAAAGGCAAUAUAAAUGAGACAUAAAAUCAUAAUAGUGAGUUCUACAUUCUAAAUAUUAUAUAUUCCAUUUUGUUCUAUAGGCUAAAAUAGUCAAGAAGGUUCCUAAUCAAACCUUUCCCAAUCCUGAGUAAUUCUUGUUGAAGAUGACAAUGGGGGAGGACUCAAGUUCCCUGGUCCAGAGUCAAAGGUCUCCCACUCAGUUGUCACUGACACAGCAUUGCUGCUAUUGCUAAAUGGCUUUGAAUUGCUUGACUUUAGGUUGUCCAGUAGAUCAUGGUAGUUUUGGACACGGUGUACCUCAGUCUUCCGCUGCACCUUUGCUUCUCCUUCAGCCUGAAUAGUGUCCAAUUUCAGCAAUUGCUUCAUCAGUAACUCUGAUGACACUGCAAAUUCCUCCUCUGCAAUCUUGGUCCC
Molecule: unclassified non-coding RNA, 507 nt
Filed under: Hevea brasiliensis (rubber tree)
Lineage: Eukaryota; Viridiplantae; Streptophyta; Magnoliopsida; Malpighiales; Euphorbiaceae
Source: RNAcentral